RNAcentral lists this ribosomal RNA (253 nucleotides) under uncultured bacterium. RNAcentral describes it as "partial 16S ribosomal RNA". It matches the Rfam family "Bacterial small subunit ribosomal RNA", at positions 524 to 776 of the family's 1533-position model. The record is from RNAcentral.
UACGGGGGGUGCAAGCGUUAUCCGGAAUCACUGGGUUUAAAGGGUGCGUAGGCGGGAUAUUAAGUCAGUGGUGAAAGUCUGUUGCUUAACAAUAGAAUUGCCGUUGAUACUGAUGUUCUUGAAUUGGGUUGAGGUUGGCGGAAUGUGACAUGUAGCGGUGAAAUGCAUAGAUAUGUCAUGGAACACCAAUUGCGAAGGCAGCCAGCUGGGCCUUGAUUGACGCUGAGGCACGAAAGCGUGGGGAGCAAACAGG